This 2041-nucleotide long non-coding RNA is filed under the name Sorghum bicolor (sorghum). Its description in RNAcentral is "long non-coding RNA (SBIC_LNC013866)". Lineage: Eukaryota; Viridiplantae; Streptophyta; Magnoliopsida; Poales; Poaceae. The record is from RNAcentral.
UAUCUAAUAAAACUUAAGCAUAGAUAUGAUGAAUAGUUGCUCUGCCUAAUUUGCAAAUUUGAAGUUCUCUCUCAAGUUUAGAUAUAACUGUUAUAAUUUAAGGCUUGCUCUAGACCUAAACUUGUGGGAUGAAAACUUGAUCUGAAGUCUAAGUUGUUAACAGAUAUGAUAUGGGAAGGUUGAGCUGCUGUUUAUCUGUUCCUAGAGAUGCUAGAAUUCUGGAGAAUUUUAUCUUUGAAAAUCUUUAAAAUGUUGCAUGAUGAGUUCCUAUAUGAUGAGAGUUUAAAUUCCUACCACAGCCAUAUAUACAUGCUUGCUAGACUUUGAGCCACACAUUUAUUAUUUACUGCUUAUGAGCAUUGAGUGUGGUCAAGCUGUGUAGACCCUUAGGAGCUUGUCAUGUGGUUAAAUCAAGAUUUCACUUGCACGUUCACUCAUAUAUGCUACUUCUACUCCGGAAGUACCAUCCACAUAUAUCCAUCCAUUUCCAUCUCCAGAAUCACCCAAAAAUAUUCUACUCCUAAUCCGGGAGAGAAUAACCAAAAAUAUUUCUGUUUUCCCCUUGUGAAAUAAAUGCUCAAGUUAUCUUGUUACUACCACUUGCUAUAUUAUCUCAAGAGAUGAAUGCUCUGAAAAAAAAGAGAAAAAAAAGAGAUACGAGGAAAUAAAAAGGAGCAAGUGCUCGGAACCUCGAAAGAAAAGAAAAAGUGAGACGAGAGGUAAAAAUAGACAAGUGUCCGACAGUAGAAUUAGGGGUACAAGAUACCCACCUGAGAGACAAGAAAAAGGAGAGCAUUUCAUUCUCCUCAUAAAGUUUCAAAAGCAAGGAAGGUAUGUAUCCCCUCAAAGAGCAAAGUAGAAUUAGACUUCCACCACCAUUGUUUUCACCAUUGUUAUCAUCAUCACCAUACACCAUUCAUUCACCACACAUACACAUCUUGAUUUGGCUUAUUGAUUUGUUUCUUUGGAUCCAUGGUUUGACUAUGCAAUAAAUGUCUUGUAAGUAUGUAUACUUUAUCUCCCACCUAUGAGCUCCAGAUAUUAAAGCCUUAUUAGAGUAGGGUGAGAGAGAAGGCAAUGUCACUAUGCCUCAUACCACAAAUACUACAUAUUUUGAGAGAAGGCAUAUACCAUCACUGCCUUGGUAAGGAUCCAAAAAUACCACAAAAGAGAGACCUGAGAGAAUCAUACAAGGAAUUUCUGAGUUUUAUUUGAAAAUCUGCAAAAACCCCAGAGCUAUAGCUGAUCAAGAAUAAGAGACAUGGCACUUGGCUAGACUGUUCUAUCUUUUAACUACUCAAGACAGAAGUGACGGUUACAAGUCCCAUGGUGAAGGUAAAGUAAGUAAGUUUUAAGUUUUGACAGUUUACUCUAACUCAGAGAUGAGAUUUUAUCUAAAAAGCAUGUGUACCGUCAAUUUUUAAAAUAUUGCAACAACUUAUGAUCCAUAGCUGAGUCUAUCCUUGCUCAGGGACGAGCAAGAGGUAAGCUUCGGGGAGUUUGUUGACGGUCCUUAAGUAUCAAAUUUAAUUGUCAAAUAAAUAAAGAAAAGGAUCCAAAUGAAAUCAAGAUCUAGACUUAGGGUUUUAUCUGACAGAAUUCCAUGAGUUUUGGUGUUUGUCUAUUUCUGCAGGGGGUUAUCAGGAAAUAUGGAAGAAAGGCCCACAUGUCGGGAUUACGUAAAGAUAUUAACGUGCUGUGCAGUUAUCUUACAUCUAGAAGACUCCAGAAGCCACGAGACCGAAGCGAAGGCGAAAUGGGGCCAGAGGCAGGGCACCCGCCCUCCUGCCCUGGGCGCCCGCCCCCUCCCUGAGUCCAAUCAGGACUCUGCUUCGUGGGAGAUCUCCACCGACCUAAAGGAUGAAUCUAAACCAUACAAUCUAUGUCGGUUUGAUCCAAUGGCCCAUAUUCACUUGAAGGGACUAUAAAACCAGACCCCCUGGCCCCUGGAGGAGAGAGCCUCUCAACCCGAAUUCAUUGUUCCAUCAAGGGAGAAGAAGCCUCUGAUCAAGAUUAGAGCCACCACAUCAAUUAGACAUCU